This 388-nucleotide transfer-messenger RNA is filed under the name Candidatus Peribacteraceae bacterium. It matches the Rfam family "transfer-messenger RNA". From Rfam's summary of the family: Bacterial tmRNA, also known as 10Sa RNA or SsrA, is named for its dual tRNA and mRNA-like properties. Its role is to liberate the mRNA from a stalled ribosome. The record is from RNAcentral. Lineage: Bacteria; Candidatus Peregrinibacteriota; Candidatus Peribacteria; Candidatus Peribacterales.
GGGGAUGAAUUGGUAUCGACUUCGUGAUUUCCUGAGUUCGAUGUUUCUGUUCAGCUUGGCAACGGUAGCUGUUACCCACUUGUUGCACGAAUAAUUGCAAAAACUGCAAAAGUUCCUGAGGUGUUCAUAAGAGCGUUUUCGCCUUCUUAUGCCCUCGCCUAGUUCCGCUCAGCGGAACGCGCUCUCCCAUUGAUUCUCGCUAUUUGGAUAGAGCGUCAUCAGCGAGACGUAACUUAACUUGAUGUGAUUGAGUCUACGUACUUAAGCAUCAACCCUUCUUAGUACUUCUCGUUCUCUCUUUAUUCUAAGAAGUAUCAGAGAGUUCAUAACAGUAUGAACACUUACUUCAGCACGUAGCACCCGGGUUCAAUUCCCGGCAUCUCCACCA